GCUUUAUAAGCGGCCGCGCAGAGGACUCGCUCCUUUUUGCGCCGUGCGCUUGGAGCGGCGGGGUGAGAGCAGGCGGUGCCGGGCUCAGGGCCGGGCUCAGGGCCGGGCUCGGGGCCUGCAGGGCGGGCAGCGUGGCGGCGCAGGCCUGGCGUACCGAGCAAAGCAGCGCCCGUACCGCUGAGCGAGCUGAAGCGCUCGCUCCCCCCGCUCGGCAGUGGUAGCGGCCGCCGGGCCUGCCUGGGCCGCGCGGGCCGGGCCGCACCAUUGGAGGGGCGGGGGGGGAGGGCGCGUGGCGCCUCACGGCCCUUGUCCCUCAGGCCACCAUGGAGGCGGCACCGGCACCGCGACCCCGCCAGGACCCCGCCAGGGCCGGGAACGCUCCCCGCAGAAAGAUGUCUUGAAGUAAAGAAGCCAGGCUUCCCACCUGGAUGUGACACAGCAGGACUGGGAACAGCUGGGGAGGUGGCCCUGAUGUGA
This 477-nucleotide long non-coding RNA is filed under the name Lonchura striata (white-rumped munia). RNAcentral describes it as "domestica (Bengalese finch) lncRNA (ENSLSDG00000012655.1)". The record is from RNAcentral. Lineage: Eukaryota; Metazoa; Chordata; Aves; Passeriformes; Estrildidae.